Molecule: ribosomal RNA, 450 nt
Filed under: uncultured bacterium
Lineage: Bacteria
Description: partial 16S ribosomal RNA
Rfam family: Bacterial small subunit ribosomal RNA
Source: RNAcentral
CCUACGGGGGGCUGCAGUGGGGAAUUUUGGACAAUGGGCGAAAGCCUGAUCCAGCAAUGCCGCGUGAGUGAAGAAGGCCUUCGGGUUGUAAAGCUCUUUUGUUUGGGAAGAAAUCCCUAAGGAUAAUACCCUUGGGGGAUGACGGUACCAAAAGAAUAAGCCCCGGCUAACUACGUGCCAGCAGCCGCGGUGAUACGUAGGGGACAAGCUGUAAUCGGAAUGUGUGGGGGCGGUGCGGUAGGAGGGGUGUGAAAUCCCCGAGCUCAACUUGGGAACUGCACUUGUGACUGCAAGACUAGAGUGUGUCAGAGGGAGGUAGAAUUCCACGUGUAGCAGUGAAAUGCGUAGAUAUGUGGAGGAAUACCAGUGGCGAAGGCGGCCUCCUGGGAUAACACUGACGCUCAUGUACGAAAGCGUGGGGAGCAAACAGGAUUAGAUACCCCAGUAGUC